Long non-coding RNA from Sorghum bicolor (sorghum), 627 nucleotides. RefSeq lists it as uncharacterized. Lineage: Eukaryota; Viridiplantae; Streptophyta; Magnoliopsida; Poales; Poaceae. The transcript has 4 exons. The record is from RefSeq and is a predicted model, not a curated record.
UCGUCGCAAUCUUGGCUCGAAAGGACCUGGUGAAUUCACGAAUUUGAGGGCUAUAAAGCUGUUGUUAUUUGUGUCCAGGCAUGUCAAGAUAAUAUUUUUGCUAUUAUGUGCUCUUUAGGAGAAGACCGGAGCUUUUGCAUGCUCUCAUCAACGAAUAGGAAGCUAUCAGAUCUUCCAAAGUUAAAAAACUUAGAACGCAAGAUAUUGGUGUUCUGAACCCAUAUGCAAUUCAUAUCUAAUUGCUUGCUGUGUUGCAGGCACAAAGUGUGAAGUGCAAAAAUAUUUUUGGAAUCAAAAUAUCCCAUAUCAAAUCUUACAGUUUACACAAAAAGCGAUUCAGUGGAUGUCGCCACACAGCUUGCCUGCCUCCUUGCAGUCUUCUCCAAGCUGGCUUUUCAGAUAGGUGGUGAUGGAUAUGCAGUGUGAAGUGAAGAAAGGAAAGACAACUAUGAGGUUACUAGGUGACUGAAGUUGUUCCGUUGAGUUUUCUUCUGAGAUCAUGCAUGCUUGCAAAUCAUAGUUUAGUUUGGAAUCCAUGGUCUUGAAUUAGCAUUGUAUCUUGAAUUGGAUUGUAACAAAACAAAAUUCUUGUGGUAUGAAUGUAUGCUACCGAUGUGCUCUUUUUUC